Molecule: long non-coding RNA, 919 nt
Organism: Pogoniulus pusillus (Red-fronted tinkerbird)
Lineage: Eukaryota; Metazoa; Chordata; Aves; Piciformes; Lybiidae
Exons: 2
Source: RefSeq, a predicted model, not a curated record
UCUCACCUGUGACUACCAAGGCUACAGGCAGGUGGUUCAGUCACCACUCAACAGAAGCCUGCACCAGAAGAGCUUUAAAGGAUGAUUUUUGUGUGUGUCUGUGGCGUCCUUUCCAGGUGAAGGGGUCAGGCAGCCCUAAGAAGCCAUCCAGUUCUGGGAUCUGUGACACAAGGAGGACAUCAAACAGCUGAAGCAAGUUUGAAGCAACUGCUUCAAGGAAAUAAAGGGUCUCUUCCAACCAAAACUCUUCUCUGAAUCCAUGAUUCUACUGAAUCCCAGCAAUGGCAGGAGGCAAUGACCCUGUUAUUGGAAGAAACUGGGUCUGCCCUCAUUUGAUUCAGCUCUCCCAAGCUCACCCUAAGCAGAUGUGGCUCCUCCUCUUCCUAGGCACCUGCACAUGUUGACUUUUCCCAUCCAUCCAUCACCUGCUCUCCCAGCACAAGCCGCAGCAAAGCUGCUCUGGGACUGGGUAAAUAUUUGCUGGCACCACUGAGUGCCAUCAUCUGGAAGGACAGCAGGGUGGAUUUGAGACAAGCUGAGCAUCUAAGAAUAGUCCUCUUUGUCAUCCAGCCCCUACCCUUGAGUGAUCCCCGUGCAUCCCUCAACACCUGGACCGUCCAAGCCUUGCAGCAGACGUCCUGCAGGCUGCUGCCUACUGCUGCCUGCUGGAUUUUAGCACCGUUACUCAAGGGCCUGAGUUUCUUGGCAGGUCAUCUAGAAAGCAGAAAAUGACUCCAAAAGAGAGCAGAUCUCCAGACAGGGAGAGUAAAAAAGACUUCUUUUAGUGUGAUUUUUCUGAGAGACAUCAGCAGCUCUUUUGCACUGUUGGGUGGGAGGAAAGGGCAGGAAGAGGAGGAGGACAUAAUUCUGCUCCAGCUUGCUACAUCAUCAGUUUGCAUUAAAAUAUUCUUCUGCCACA